Molecule: ribosomal RNA, 253 nt
Filed under: uncultured bacterium
Lineage: Bacteria
Description: partial 16S ribosomal RNA
Rfam family: Bacterial small subunit ribosomal RNA
Source: RNAcentral
UACAGAGGGUGCGAGCGUUGUCCGGAAUCACUGGGCGUAAAGGGCGCGUAGGUGGCUCGGUAAGUGUGCGGUGAAAGUCCGGGGCUCAACCCCGGAUCUGCCGUGCAGACUGCCGAGCUCGAGCAUAGUAGAGGCACGUGGAAUUCCGGGUGUAGCGGUGGAAUGCGUAGAGAUCCGGAAGAACACCGGUGGCGAAGGCGGCGUGCUGGGCUAUUGCUGACACUGAUGCGCGACAGCGUGGGGAGCAAACAGG